RNAcentral lists this ribosomal RNA (440 nucleotides) under uncultured bacterium. RNAcentral describes it as "partial 16S ribosomal RNA". It matches the Rfam family "Bacterial small subunit ribosomal RNA", at positions 338 to 795 of the family's 1533-position model. The record is from RNAcentral.
CCUACGGGAGGCAGCAGUGGGGCAUCUUGCACAAUGGGGGGAACCCUGAUGCAGCGACGCCGCGUGGGUUCCUGCGCACCUCGGUGCGUCCCUCCCUCUCUUCCUUUAAUCCCCCUCCUUUCCCUGCCUCCGCCGCCCCGGCUCCCUCCGUGCCCGCCGCCGCGGUCCUCCGUCGGGGGCCCGCGUUCUCCUGAUCCCCUGGUGGUACCGGGAGCGUCGACUUCUCCGCCCUUCUUGCGUGAAAGCCCUUGGCCCACCCCCGGGACUGCUCUGGAAACUGCGGCGCUGGAGUACGGGAGGGGCAGGCGGAAUUCCUGGUGUAGCGGUGAAAUGCGUAGAUAUCAGGAGGAACACCGGCGGCGAAGGCGGCCUGCUGGACCGUGACUGACGUGGAGGCGCGAGAGCGUGGGGAGCAAACAGGAUGAGAGACCCGAGUAGUC